Molecule: ribosomal RNA, 727 nt
Filed under: Bacillus velezensis
Lineage: Bacteria; Bacillati; Bacillota; Bacilli; Caryophanales; Bacillaceae
Description: bacterial SSU rRNA
Rfam family: Bacterial small subunit ribosomal RNA
Source: RNAcentral
GAGAGUUUGAUCCUGGCUCAGGACGAACGCUGGCGGCGUGCCUAAUACAUGCAAGUCGAGCGGACAGAUGGGAGCUUGCUCCCUGAUGUUAGCGGCGGACGGGUGAGUAACACGUGGGUAACCUGCCUGUAAGACUGGGAUAACUCCGGGAAACCGGGGCUAAUACCGGAUGGUUGUCUGGACCGCAUGGUUCAGACAUAAAAGGUGGCUUCGGCUACCACUUACAGAUGGACCCGCGGCGCAUUAGCUAGUUGGUGAGGUAACGGCUCACCAAGGCGACGAUGCGUAGCCGACCUGAGAGGGUGAUCGGCCACACUGGGACUGAGACACGGCCCAGACUCCUACGGGAGGCAGCAGUAGGGAAUCUUCCGCAAUGGACGAAAGUCUGACGGAGCAACGCCGCGUGAGUGAUGAAGGUUUUCGGAUCGUAAAGCUCUGUUGUUAGGGAAGAACAAGUGCCGUUCAAAUAGGGCGGCACCUUGACGGUACCUAACCAGAAAGCCACGGCUAACUACGUGCCAGCAGCCGCGGUAAUACGUAGGUGGCAAGCGUUGUCCGGAAUUAUUGGGCGUAAAGGGCUCGCAGGCGGUUUCUUAAGUCUGAUGUGAAAGCCCCCGGCUCAACCGGGGAGGGUCAUUGGAAACUGGGGAACUUGAGUGCAGAAGAGGAGAGUGGAAUUCCACGUGUAGCGGUGAAAUGCGUAGAGAUGUGGAGGAACACCAGUGGC